Molecule: long non-coding RNA, 1053 nt
Organism: Herpailurus yagouaroundi (jaguarundi)
Lineage: Eukaryota; Metazoa; Chordata; Mammalia; Carnivora; Felidae
Exons: 2
Source: RefSeq, a predicted model, not a curated record
AGCUGGCAAGUGGGUGUGCUUAUUAUGGGGCACAGUGAGGCCCUUCCCCAGAGGACCCCUCAAGAGCAUCAGCUCAAGAGACUGGGAAUUCAAGCAUCCAGGAAACAGCCAAUUCAUUCGGCCUGACUGUCUGCCUCAUCUGCAUUGGUGUCUACCUCUGCAGGGCAUCACACGGACAUUGUGGAAGGGAGCAGAGGGCCCCUUUUUCUACCCUGCCCCGCCCAGCUUUCAGCCUGCAGCGCAACUGCCCUAUCUCCCAGUUUCUCCAAUCUUGUAUCCUGAUGCCCAUCACUUAGCCCAGUAAACAAAACCCUCCACAACUUACCUGUAUCCACACAUCAGGAAGUUUGCAAACAAAAAAUACCUGAUUAUGUCACAAAUGGUAUUUUUCCAUGCCACACAAGCCACAGGAACCAUUUGGGUAGAAAUUUUUUCAUGGUCCUUCCACCACGUUGAAUUUCUCUGCUUUAAUUCCUAGACCUAGACAUUUGUUUCCCAUCGAACACAUAUACACCCUACAUUUGUGUGAUUCUUUCCCUUCUCAUGCUACUAUUUAGAUUAUUUCUUGUUUCUGACUACCUGCCCAAAUUAUAAUCACCACUUUGAGUUUUAAUCCAUAUUCCAGGGCCCUAAUUUUCCUCAAGGCUGGUGUAUUAAAAAUUCUUUUGUCAGGCAAGAAAAAGAACCUAAAAUACACAUUUGGUUUCUCUUGUGCAGGAAUAUUUUCUCUGCUUACAAGAUAGUUUGACUCUUCCACUAACUACUAAAGGAAACAAUUGUACAGUCCACAAGGUAACUAGAAGCCCAGAAGACCUCCAGGAAGUUACCACAUAGUUGAUCACUUCCUCGUUGUGCUAACUCCACACCUCAUACUUCUUCUGCUUCACAGAUUUGCAAGAACAAGAAGUUGCCAGGAUAGUACACAGAGCUUCGCCUUACUACACCCUGCUUUCCCCAAUGAUGACAUCUUAUAUAACCACAGCACCUGAAAAUGGAGAAGUUGACAUUUGUACAAUGGUAUUAAGUAAAUUAGAGAAUUUAAUUUGGAUUUCA